AGUGAACGCUGGCGGUAGGCCUAACACAUGCAAGUCGAACGGCAGCACAGUAAGAGCUUGCUCUUACGGGUGGCGAGUGGCGGACGGGUGAGGAAUACAUCGGAAUCUACUUUUUCGUGGGGGAUAACGUAGGGAAACUUACGCUAAUACCGCAUACGACCUACGGGUGAAAGCAGGGGAUCUUCGGACCUUGCGCGAUUGAAUUAGCCGAUGUCGGAUUAGCUAGUUGGCGGGGUAAAGGCCCACCAAGGCGACGAUCCGUAGCUGGUCUGAGAGGAUGAUCAGCCACACUGGAACUGAGACACGGUCCAGACUCCUACGGGAGGCAGCAGUGGGGAAUAGUGGACAAUGGGCGCAAGCAUGAUCCAGCCAUACCGCGUGGGUGAAGAAGGCCUUCGGGUUGUAAAGCCCUUUUGUUGGGAAAGAAAAGCAGCAGGUUAAUACCCCGCUGUUCUGACGGUACCCAAAGAAUAAGCACCGGCUAACUUCGUG
RNAcentral lists this ribosomal RNA (492 nucleotides) under uncultured bacterium. Its description in RNAcentral is "partial 16S ribosomal RNA". It matches the Rfam family "Bacterial small subunit ribosomal RNA", at positions 29 to 507 of the family's 1533-position model. The record is from RNAcentral.